This 163-nucleotide ribosomal RNA is filed under the name uncultured bacterium. RNAcentral describes it as "partial 16S ribosomal RNA". It matches the Rfam family "Bacterial small subunit ribosomal RNA", at positions 1340 to 1500 of the family's 1533-position model. The record is from RNAcentral.
AAUCGCGGAUCAGCACGCCGCGGUGAAUACGUUCCCGGGCCUUGUACACACCGCCCGUCACACCAUGAGAGUCUGUAACACCCAAAGCCGGUGGGAUAACCUUUAUAGGAGUCAGCCGUCUAAGGUAGGACAGAUGAUUAGGGUGAAGUCGUAACAAGGUACC